AUAGUCUUUAGUCCUAGUUGUCAGUUGUUGAUCUAUCGAUGAUAAAUUAUACACAUGCAGAUAGAAAAGAGUUAGGAGUCGAUGAAGAUGACCUUUGAAUUCUUGGGAAGACUCGUACAAUCGUACAAAAUUAUAAGGAUUGAAGCUAUUAAGAUUGGUUAAGACUAACCCUUAAUUAACUUCUGCUUAUGGCAGAAAAGUGACUUUGGUGAGAGACUUCUGAUUGGCUUGGAGACGAAUGACAGACUGUUUGCAUGUCUUAUUCUCUCAAAUUUGGCAACCGACUGUGUGGAGAUGGCAACUGACUUGUGACACUCGUUACCAAUGUCUAGUGUCUGACUCUCCACUUCUGCUUAAGUUUCAGGGACAGAUUCCUGACCCAUCAUCUAAUACAUCAAUUCUUUCCCAGGGGGAAGACAAUGUUUUGCAUUGUCUUACAACCCAGGUUACAAUUUUCUCAUCAACCUUGUUGCCAUAUACAUGUCAACUUAUUCUUUAUUGUUAUUAAUGUAGAGGACAGUUUUCCAAACUAGGUGAUAUAAAAAACAAAUCUGUUAAUUGUUUAUCCAUCUAGAGUGUAACUCCAGUUAAAUUCCUUUUUGAUAUUUUUUUGUAGAAGAG
Molecule: long non-coding RNA, 621 nt
Filed under: Androctonus crassicauda
Lineage: Eukaryota; Metazoa; Arthropoda; Arachnida; Scorpiones; Buthidae
Source: RNAcentral